RNAcentral lists this transfer RNA (65 nucleotides) under Stomoxys calcitrans (stable fly). RNAcentral's name for it is "tRNA-His". Lineage: Eukaryota; Metazoa; Arthropoda; Insecta; Diptera; Muscidae. The record is from RNAcentral.
GUUUAAAUAGUUUAAAAAAAAUAUUGAUUUGUGGUGUCAAUGAUAAGACUAUGUCUUUUUAAAUC